This 750-nucleotide long non-coding RNA is filed under the name Brachypodium distachyon (stiff brome). Its description in RNAcentral is "long non-coding RNA (BDIS_LNC003546)". Lineage: Eukaryota; Viridiplantae; Streptophyta; Magnoliopsida; Poales; Poaceae. The record is from RNAcentral.
CCGACACUACAAGAAAUAUCAUAUUCAGUGACGGGUAGCCCCAUGACAAAAUUGCAAUCCAUCACAGAAAAUCUUUUUUUGGUGACGGCAUAGGGUUGCCCGUCACCUAAGAUUGCUAAUGCAUGACGGAAUCGAUUUUCGUCAUUGCAAACCGUGGCUGAUUAUAAGCAUGAUGGAAUUUAGAGCAUGGUACAUUCAACCGUCACCUAAAUCAAUAGAAAUAAGCUUGAAAAAUGAAAAAAAAUUGCAUGAUGGAAUUUAGAGCAUGGUACAUUCAAACGUCAGCUAAAUCAAUAGAAAUAAGCUUGAAAAAUGAACAAAAAAAUUGCCUUGCCGUAGGGAUCGUAGCGUAUUGUUGCUUUGUAAGGAAAGUUUAGUUCUUUUGUAUGUACCACGUCAAUAGAAAUAAACUUGAGAAUGAAGGAAAAAUUGAGUUGAAGUGGGAUUUGAACCCAGGAAGUAGGAAGAGUUUAAAGGUGGCUUGCCACUAGGCUAGUGUUCCUUUGUUGCAUUGUAUGGGAGUUUAGUUAUUUUGUAUAUACGAAGGCUGACAAUUUCGUAACGGCCCCCACCCACUCCAUUUACUUGCCCCACCCACCUCUCUCCAUUCCUCUCUCGGUGAGUUCUCGCCGAAACGAAGCCGCGCUGUCGCUCUCGCGCUGCCGUCGCCCAAAUUUAGCCGACGCCACCGUGCGCGGGAGAGGGAGGAGAGCAAGAUCCGCGCGCUCGCCGUCACUCAAUCCCCCGCCC